Molecule: ribosomal RNA, 335 nt
Filed under: uncultured Planctomycetales bacterium
Lineage: Bacteria; Pseudomonadati; Planctomycetota; Planctomycetia; Planctomycetales
Description: bacterial SSU rRNA
Rfam family: Bacterial small subunit ribosomal RNA
Source: RNAcentral
CUAAGGCUCCAGAGGAAGCCACGGCUAACUCUGUGCCAGCAGCCGCGGUAAUACAGAGGCGGCAAGCGUUGUUCGGAAUUAUUGGGCGUAAAGAGCACGUAGGCGGCCUUGCAAGUCAGUUGUGAAAGCCUUCCGCUUAACGGAAGAAUGCCAGCUGAUACUACAGGGCUUGAGUACGGGAGGGGAGAGUGGAACUUCUGGUGGAGCGGUGAAAUGCGUAGAUAUCAGAAGGAACGCCGGCGGCGAAAGCGACUCUCUGGCCCGAAACUGACGCUGAGUGUGCGAAAGCUAGGGGAGCAAGCGGGAUUAGAUACCCCGGUAGUCCUAGCCGUAAA